GACGAACGCUGGCGGCGUGCUUAACACAUGCAAGUCGAACGGAAAGACCCUGCUUUUGUGGGGUGCUCGAGUGGCGAACGGGUGAGUAACACGUGAGUAACCUGCCCUUGACUUUGGGAUAACUUCAGGAAACUGGGGCUAAUACCGGAUAGGAGCUCCUGCUUCAUGGUGGGGGUUGGAAAGUUUCGGCGGUUGGGGAUGGACUCGCGGCUUAUCAGCUUGUUGGUGGGGUAGUGGCUUACCAAGGCUUUGACGGGUAGCCGGCCUGAGAGGGUGACCGGCCACAUUGGGACUGAGAUACGGCCCAGACUCAGACGGGAGGCAGCAGUGGGGAAUAUUGCACAAUGGGCGGAAGCCUGAUGCAGCAACGCCGCGUGCGGGAUGACGGCCUUCGGGUUGUAAACCGCUUUCGCCUGUGACGAAGCGUGAGUGACGGUAAUGGGUAAAGAAGCACCGGCUAACUACGUG
Molecule: ribosomal RNA, 468 nt
Filed under: uncultured bacterium
Lineage: Bacteria
Description: partial 16S ribosomal RNA
Rfam family: Bacterial small subunit ribosomal RNA
Source: RNAcentral